Long non-coding RNA from Dunckerocampus dactyliophorus (ringed pipefish), 3541 nucleotides. RefSeq lists it as uncharacterized. The record is from RefSeq and is a predicted model, not a curated record. The transcript has 3 exons. Lineage: Eukaryota; Metazoa; Chordata; Actinopteri; Syngnathiformes; Syngnathidae.
UUUCUGUGUCAAAUACUGGUACAGUAUAUUGCUAAUGCUGAAAACACAUUUAAACCCGUGCGUACAGUCGUUAUUACUGAUGUUGCUUAAAUCACAUGUUUCAAACUCAAACCUGCAGGCCACAACGUCAUUUUACAUGGCCUUCGAAAGCACGGAAUAUGUAAUAGGCACACUGUGUACUCAGCUGACAAAUCGUAGCACUUAAGAAUGGUUCAAUAAAAUAAGCGUUCUGGCUGCAGAUAGAAAACGUGCACACAUUUAAGGAUGAGAAAAAAAUGCUCAAUUGCAUAAUAAUUGUGCAUGCAGUGAAUACAUGUAUUUGCUUUCACAGUUACGACAGUAAGAGUUCAGUAAGAGUUAAUUUCAAUUGUAAUUAGGAGCAUUAUUCCCGGAAGCUAAGUGCAUUGUCCUUAUUGAUUGUGUUCUGUCUGAAUCCCAACAGAGGCAAAAAAUGCAUCCCUUAAGGAAGCUCAGCCAGUUGAGUAAAAGCUGCCAGAUGUAUAAUUUACCUUCUGGAUGCCGUACUCAAAUGCUUUCUGAGCCAGACGACCGGGGCCUUCCACCGUCUUGCCAUCAUCAUUGGGUCCCCAGCUGGCACUGUAGAUGUCCACAUGUUCUGGAUUGAAGCCAAUGGAGCUAGCCUCGAUGGCAUCCGUUACAAUCCCAUCUAGCAUGCGAAUGCCUGAAUACAAAAGAGCCAAGAGCAUUACGGUUCUCUUUGUGCAACCCCACCUCCUGAGAAUGCAGUUGCAUCCCAGUUGUCGAUGCAAAUGCGCAGCAGUGAUUGUAAUGACUGACUUAUUAACGUCGGCAGCAUUUGACAUAUUCUCAUAUUUUUUUCCAUAGUGUUAGAAAAACAAUAUGCACAUCUGACACAAGCAUACCCUCAUGCACGCAUGCAAACACAGCCGUGCAGGCGAUGAGUCACGCCCUGGUGUAAUUUUCAUGCAUCCAGCCACUCAUGUUAGAUAACGGCAGUCAUCUUCUUCAACUCUCCACUCUGUCGCUUUGCAGCAUUGCUCAUCCGGCUCCGUCACACAUGUAGCCCUCUCCAAUGUAAGCAAACAUCAACCGACGUCAUCGUCCUCUAACCCGUCACGCCACCCUCUUCGCCAUUUCUCUUCAUUCACAUAUGCACACAUCACAAAAUUGACAAAUUAGGUUUUUAUCAGGUGAUAUUGUACUUCAUUCCGCACAGCUUUUAUCCUUGAUGAAUGACUCAUGAUGCUUUAGAGUGGUGGACUGAUGUGGAAAUACAUUAAGUGCCACUUUAAGGUAGUCAUCAUCCCUUCUUAGACAAAAUGAUUGGGAAAUUUUGUUUUCUCAUUCUACACAAACUGUGUGUGUGACUCAUGUUUGGUCACCGCAGGUGUGGACAAGCGGGAGAUAAAUGGACUCCCGCUCCAUCUUUCACAAAACCACUCUAAGGCAAUACACAUUUAAACAUUACGCAACUAAUAAGUUCAUUGUUUUUGUUUCCCAGAACGGGAAGCUAAAGUAUAUGUGGCCGUGUAAAAAAAAAAUAUUAUUUUGGGCCCCAUCUAAAAAAAUAUUCAUGAUUUACUAUUUUCGAAUGGCCUCUGUAAGUCAUGGGCCCAAUCACCAUCACUUCCCCUGACCUGCAUAACAACAUUAAAGGGAUCAAGCCUUCAGGGCUGCCCCUCCCUAAAUGCAGUGCCCCACGAUCCAUUGGGGAACCCAUUUUGUGCAAGGUGGCGCAUUCUCAGCAAAUGCACAAAGGACGCACAUCGCUACGUCAGCCCGAGGCAGGAGAGAGAAAAAAAAAGAGAGAUGAGUAAUCUGACACCACACUCGUUGCCACAAUGAUUGACAGCACGCAGCAGAAUAAGAACACAAAAUGGCAGAAUUCACCAUUUCACUUGUCAGUCCUUGGUGGUGUAAUGGUACAGCUGCUGCCUUUUAAGAUAGAAGGCGUGGCCCUAAGGAAAAUCUAAUUCUGCACAGCUGUAAAAACUGACAGUUCUCUGCUCCAACUUGGCCUCAAUGGACUAAAAAAAAUCUCAUUUGGGAUAAAUUGGGACUUAAUGAAUUGUGCUCUGCUCUGUUCCAUCCUGCUGGAUUAGAGUCUCUCCACUACUCUCAUCCCGACUCGGACUCUGUAACCAAUUAAGCUAAUGGCUCUUUUGGCCAGAAUUGCUUCAUUGUAUGCUGUUCUAUUAUUGUUUGUUUGUAUUUUUCCAUUUUAGUGCCAUUGUUAGCACAAUGAGAACAAAACUGGGAUCAACAUGACAGGUUUCAUAACCACCUCAGGGGAAAAGAAAGGAGGAAGCAAACAGAAGGCCCAUACUAGCUUUCUUGCGGACUCACCAAAUACCACUGCUGGUUCCACAUGGGGUCGUCAAACAACUUGUCCACCGGGCAGUCCCUGCACUCCCCGAGGGAUGCGCGCUUGUUGCGCCGUUUCUCGUACUGUUGCUCUGCCCAAAGCACCUGCACAGAACGGUGGGAUUACUUUGUGUUCGAGGUGCACCAGGACGAAAUGAAAACUAAAGAAGCCACUCACCCGAUCAUCCUCCGACAGCCGCCUGGUGAUGUGUUCUGCACCUCGCUUCAUUCUGCGUGGAUGUUUUCGAUGUCUGAACAAAAAAUGGUCCUUCAGGGCGCCAAUCUGCAGAGAUAAGAGAGACCGGGUAGUGGAAAUCUGCCUAAUAUCAACCAAUGUAUCUCAAGUGGAGCAUUCAGAGGUAAAAACAUAACGAAUUAUUCAUACACAGACAAAAGCAAAACAUACUGGCCACGGCUAAAGGCCCAGUUGAAUAAGAUCCAGUACACGGCAAAGAUAAUAAUGCUUGUUUUGACCUUGGGAGGUAUUCAUUUAACAAUAUCUUAAUUAUGUGGUCGCAGUUUGCAGUGAUGGCGUAGAGCUGUACUGCAUCAGACUAUUUCUAAUAUUAUGGUUACCUUGUCUUUAAUCCUGAAAUGGCACAAGAAAGUGGCAAAAGAUGAUCUUUAUAUUGAAAGAAAAAAUCAUUAUCUUGAAACUACUAAUAAAAAGACGACCAUAAUUAUUCACACAGAUAGAAAUACAUGCAUAUUCAGUAUUCCCCUUUUAGAGUGGAUUAGAUUGUUCUAUGCCAGAUGUUACUCGUGAAUGGUGCGAAAUGUAACAUUUUCUCAAUAAACAAAGAAUGAACAAGGAGAAUAUUUUUCACUAAUAACUCUCUUAACUUUUAUUUGUCACUUUAAUGGUUGUUUGUAUGUGCCCUGCGAUUGGCUGGCGACCAGUCCAGGGUGUACCCCGCCCCUCGCCCAAAGUCAGCUGGGAUAGGCUCCAGCAUACCCCCGAGGCAUAUAAAAUGAAUGAAUCCAUGUGGUGUGCAAAAUAUUAGAAGCACUUCUCAGUGUGAUGCGCUACAUAUUAUAAUCACAAUAUGUGAAAUAAUGACCUUUUUUUAUUUUUUUUUUUAAUUGAGCUCUGCCUCUUCCUACUGCUUUUCAAACAUGUUGAAUUGUGCAAGGGUAACUGUGAUGUCCCUCAAUGUAACUUGUUGAGCAUGUUAGAAACAAAUAAACUACCGCU